This 46-nucleotide non-coding RNA is filed under the name Schistosoma curassoni. The record is from RNAcentral. Lineage: Eukaryota; Metazoa; Platyhelminthes; Trematoda; Strigeidida; Schistosomatidae.
GAAUCGCUGAGGAGUUCCAUACUAGGACGAAACGGCUGUCCGGUGC